UGUGCAAAUCCAUGCAAAGCUCU
RNAcentral lists this microRNA (23 nucleotides) under Oreochromis niloticus (Nile tilapia). RNAcentral's name for it is "oni-miR-19c". Its record names the gene oni-miR-19c. The record is from miRBase by way of RNAcentral. RNAcentral also lists the same sequence under 4 other names. Lineage: Eukaryota; Metazoa; Chordata; Actinopteri; Cichliformes; Cichlidae.